ACUUUAUCCUAAUCCCUACAUACAAAACAAAACGUACAUUUUGAUAUUAUUUACAAAGAAUUUUCGAUUCUCCUCUUUGUUGCGCUUGACUUUAUUUGAAGAGCGAGUGUAGAUUUGAGGCCGAUAACGUCCAUUCACUGCUCCGCAAGAGGUAAAAUCGGCUCCUGUUCUGACCUUUGUUUUUCUUUUUAUUAAAAUUUCAUUAUUUUUUUUUUGCUUGAAAAAAUCAUGUUCUAGAGUCCAAGUGUAUGCAGAUGCGUUUUGUGAUAAGUCAUGAAGUUAUUUAUUCUUUUCGAGUCUCAAAAGAUAUAAACAAACGUUUUCUUUGAGUUUUUCAUGUCAAAGAAACAUGUUUGUAGUUCUUUUCCCCCAAGUCUUUUUCAUAUAUUCAAACUUGUGUUCUUAGAAAUUCUCACCUGCCAAAAUGAGUGUAUGUUUAUUUUAAAUUAAGUACAUAGUUGUGUAUUACAUUAAAUAUAGAUAGAUCUUUUGCCUUGAAAUGGACGUUCUAUGCGUGUGACGUACACCAUAUGUUAUUCACACUCUUCUACACUCUUUAAUUAUUAUAUU
This 570-nucleotide long non-coding RNA is filed under the name Solanum tuberosum (potato). Its description in RNAcentral is "long non-coding RNA (STUB_LNC000782)". The record is from RNAcentral. Lineage: Eukaryota; Viridiplantae; Streptophyta; Magnoliopsida; Solanales; Solanaceae.